RNAcentral lists this unclassified non-coding RNA (327 nucleotides) under Hevea brasiliensis (rubber tree). The record is from RNAcentral. Lineage: Eukaryota; Viridiplantae; Streptophyta; Magnoliopsida; Malpighiales; Euphorbiaceae.
GUGAUAUUUUCGCUUGUGUUCCACCGUUUCUGGUUUUCUUGGCCCUCCACACCCUGCAUGGAGACCCAUAGAUUCACCUUGUCCUUCAAUUAUGCCCUGUUUCUAGUUGUUAUACUGUCUUUUCUAUCUAUUGAAGGUGGUUUAGCGUCUCGGCUCAACCGGUUUGAGCCUGGGAUCCUCAUGCCCACAGAGGAAGUUGAACCAGGAGUUGAUGAUGAUCAACUUGGCACAAGAUGGGCAGUUCUCGUGGCCGGAUCAGGGGGUUACGGAAAUUACAGGCAUCAGGCCGAUGUUUGCCAUGCAUAUCAGCUUCUAAGAAAAGGAGGC